GGCCUGAGAGGGUGACCGGCCACACUGGGACUGAGACACGGCCCAGACUCCUACGGGAGGCAGCAGUGGGGAAUAUUGCACAAUGGGCGCAAGCCUGAUGCAGCGACGCCGCGUGGGGGAUGACGGCCUUCGGGUUGUAAACCUCUUUCAGCAGGGAAGAAGCGAAAGUGACGGUACCUGCAGAAGAAGCGCCGGCUAACUACGUGCCAGCAGCCGCGGUAAUACGUAGGGCGCAAGCGUUGUCCGGAAUUAUUGGGCGUAAAGAGCUCGUAGGCGGUUUGUCGCGUCUGCUGUGAAAGCCCGGGGCUCAACCCCGGGUCUGCAGUGGGUACGGGCAGACUUGAGUGAUGUAGG
This 354-nucleotide ribosomal RNA is filed under the name bacterium LimB-10-J-108. Its description in RNAcentral is "bacterial SSU rRNA". It matches the Rfam family "Bacterial small subunit ribosomal RNA", at positions 289 to 655 of the family's 1533-position model. The record is from RNAcentral.